AUUGAACGCUGGCGGCAUGCCUUACACAUGCAAGUCGAACGGUAACAGGUCUUAGGAUGCUGACGAGUUGCGAACGGGCGAAUAAUACAUCGGAACGUGCCCGAUCGUGGGGGAUAACGAAGCGAAAGCUUUGCUAAUACCGCAUAAGAUCUACGGAUGAAAGCAGGGGACCGCAAGGCCUUGCGCGAACGGAGCGGCCGAUGGCAGAUUAGGUAGUUGGUGGGAUAAAAGCUUACCAAGCCGACGAUCUGUAGCUGGUCUGAGAGGACGACCAGCCACACUGGGACUGAGACACGGCCCAGACUCCUACGGGAGGCAGCAGUGGGGAAUUUUGGACAAUGGGCGAAAGCCUGAUCCAGCCAUGCCGCGUGCAGGAUGAAGGCCUUCGGGUUGUAAACUGCUUUUGUACGGAACGAAAAGACUCUGGUUAAUACCUGGGGUCCAUGACGGUACCGUAAGAAUAAGCACCGGCUAACUCCGUG
This 482-nucleotide ribosomal RNA is filed under the name uncultured bacterium. RNAcentral's name for it is "partial 16S ribosomal RNA". It matches the Rfam family "Bacterial small subunit ribosomal RNA", at positions 30 to 507 of the family's 1533-position model. The record is from RNAcentral.